GCUACGGUGAGCAGCAGUGAGGAAUAUUGGUCAAUGGGCGCGAGCCUGAACCAGCCAAGUAGCGUGAAGGAUGACUGCCCUACGGGUUGUAAACUUCUUUUAUAAAGGAAUAAAGUGAGGCACGUGUGCCUUUUUGUAUGGACUUUAUGAAUAAGGAUCGGCUAACUCCGUGCCAGCAGCCGCGGUAAUACGGAGGAUCCGAGCGUUAUUCGGAUUUAUUGGGGUUAAAGGGAGCGUAGAUGGGUUGGUAAGUCAGUUGUGAAAGUUUGCGGCUCAACCGUAAAAUUGCAAUUGAUACUGGCAGCCGUGAGCACAGUUGAGGUAGGCGGAAUUCGUGGUGUAGCUGUGAAAUGCUUAGAUAUCACGAAGAACUCCGAUUGCGAAGGCAGCCUACUAAACUGCCACUGACAUUGAUACUCGAAAGUGUGGGUAUCAAACAGGAUUAGAUACCCCGGUAGUC
RNAcentral lists this ribosomal RNA (460 nucleotides) under uncultured bacterium. Its description in RNAcentral is "partial 16S ribosomal RNA". It matches the Rfam family "Bacterial small subunit ribosomal RNA", at positions 338 to 795 of the family's 1533-position model. The record is from RNAcentral.